CCUCCUUAUGCACGAUAACGCUCGUUGU
This 28-nucleotide small RNA is filed under the name Bombyx mori (domestic silkworm). Its description in RNAcentral is "ovarian small RNA-13973". The record is from RNAcentral. Lineage: Eukaryota; Metazoa; Arthropoda; Insecta; Lepidoptera; Bombycidae.